GUGAAUCAUCGAAUCUUUGAACGCACCUUGCGCUCCUUGGUAUUCCGAGGAGCAUGCCUGUUUGAGUGUCUUGAAGUCAUCAACCCGAGCCGUUUGUUGCGGUCGACGGUUGGAUCUGGGGCGUGCUGCCGCGAGGCUGCUCCCCUCAAAUGUGUCGGUUGGACCUGUGGGUCGGACUCGAAUGGGCGUUGUACCAUCCUCGCUCUCCCGAGAAGUUCCCCUUCUGUGUCCUCCCAAGACCUGCCUCUGGAGUGGCGGUCAACUGUACUUUGAAAUCUGACCUCAAAUCAGGUAGGACUACCCGCUGAACUUAAGCAUAUCAAUAAGCGGAGGA
Molecule: unclassified non-coding RNA, 334 nt
Filed under: Trechispora sp.
Lineage: Eukaryota; Fungi; Basidiomycota; Agaricomycetes; Trechisporales; Hydnodontaceae
Description: partial contains 5.8S ribosomal RNA, internal transcribed spacer 2, and large subunit ribosomal RNA
Rfam family: 5.8S ribosomal RNA (bases 1-71)
Source: RNAcentral